ACCCGCUGAACUUAAGCAUAUCAAUAAGCGGAGGAAAAGAAACCAACAGGGAUUGCCCUAGUAACGGCGAGUGAAGCGGCAACAGCUCAAAUUUGAAAUCUGGCCCCCUGUGGGGUCCGAGUUGUAAUUUGUAGAGGGUGUUUCGGCGGCGGACCCAGCCUAAGUUCCUUGGAACGGGACGUCAUAGAGGGUGAGAACCCCGUAUGCGGCUGGUGUGCGUUGCCAUGUGAAACCCCUUCGACGAGUCGAGUUGUUUGGGAAUGCAGCUCUAAAUGGGAGGUAUAUUUCUUCUAAAGCUAAAUACUGGCCAGAGACCGAUAGCGCACAAGUAGAGUGAUCGAAAGAUGAAAAGCACUUUGGAAAGAGAGUCAAACAGCACGUGAAAUUGUUGAAAGGGAAGCGCUUGCCACCAGACUUGUCGGCCGUCGUUCAUCCCGGGGUCUCCCCGGGUGCACGCGGCGGCAGACAGGCCAGCAUCAGUGGGGGCGGUCGGACAAAGGCGUGGGGAAUGUAGCUCUCUUCGGGGAGUGUUAUAGCCCUGCGUGUCCCACGGCCAGCCCCGACUGAGGUCCGCGCUUCGGCUAGGAUGCUGGCGUAAUGGUUGC
RNAcentral lists this ribosomal RNA (605 nucleotides) under uncultured fungus. RNAcentral's name for it is "eukaryotic LSU rRNA". It matches the Rfam family "Eukaryotic large subunit ribosomal RNA", at positions 23 to 641 of the family's 3401-position model. Lineage: Eukaryota; Fungi. The record is from RNAcentral.